UGGGGAAUAUUGGACAAUGGGCGAAAGCCUGAUCCAGCAAUGCCGCGUGAGUGAUGAAGGCCCUAGGGUUGUAAAGCUCUUUUACCCGGGAUGAUAAUGACAGUACCGGGAGAAUAAGCUCCGGCUAACUUCGUGCCAGCAGCCGCGGUAAUACGAGGGGAGCUAGCGUUGUUCGGAAUUACUGGGCGUAAAGCGCGCGUAGGCGGUUUUUUAAGUCAGAGGUGAAAGCCCGGGGCUCAACCCCGGAAUAGCCUUUGAAACUGGAAAACUAGAAUCUUGGAGAGGUCAGUGGAAUUCCGAGUGUAGAGGUCAAAUUCGUAGAUAUUCGGAAGAACACCAGUGGCGAAGGCGACUGACUGGACAAGUAUUGACGCUGAGGUGCGAAAGCGUGGGGAGCAAACA
Molecule: ribosomal RNA, 402 nt
Filed under: uncultured bacterium
Lineage: Bacteria
Description: bacterial SSU rRNA
Rfam family: Bacterial small subunit ribosomal RNA
Source: RNAcentral